RNAcentral lists this unclassified non-coding RNA (207 nucleotides) under soil metagenome. RNAcentral describes it as "partial contains 5.8S ribosomal RNA, internal transcribed spacer 2, and large subunit ribosomal RNA". The record is from RNAcentral.
AACCAUAGAAACCUGCGGAGUACCUGCGGAAGGAUCAUUACCGAGUUUACAGCUCCCAAACCCCUGUGAACAUACCAAUUGUUGCCUCGGCGGAUCAGCCCGCUCCCGGUAAAACGGGACGGCCCGCCAGAGGACCCCUAAACUCUGUUUCUAUAUGUAACUUCUGAGUAAAACCAUAAAUAAAUCAAAACUUUUAACAAUGGAUCU